This 1372-nucleotide ribosomal RNA is filed under the name uncultured bacterium. RNAcentral's name for it is "bacterial SSU rRNA". It matches the Rfam family "Bacterial small subunit ribosomal RNA", at positions 28 to 1381 of the family's 1533-position model. The record is from RNAcentral.
GAUGAACGCUGGCGGCGUGCCUAAUACAUGCAAGUCGAGCGAACGGACGAGAAGCUUGCUUCUCUGAUGUUAGCGGCGGACGGGUGAGUAACACGUGGAUAACCUACCUAUAAGACUGGGAUAACUUCGGGAAACCGGAGCUAAUACCGGAUAAUAUUUUGAACCGCAUGGUUCAAAAGUGAAAGACGGUCUUGCUGUCACUUAUAGAUGGAUCCGCGCUGCAUUAGCUAGUUGGUAAGGUAACGGCUUACCAAGGCAACGAUGCAUAGCCGACCUGAGAGGGUGAUCGGCCACACUGGAACUGAGACACGGUCCAGACUCCUACGGGAGGCAGCAGUAGGGAAUCUUCCGCAAUGGGCGAAAGCCUGACGGAGCAACGCCGCGUGAGUGAUGAAGGUCUUCGGAUCGUAAAACUCUGUUAUUAGGGAAGAACAUAUGUGUAAGUAACUGUGCACAUCUUGACGGUACCUAAUCAGAAAGCCACGGCUAACUACGUGCCAGCAGCCGCGGUAAUACGUAGGUGGCAAGCGUUAUCCGGAAUUAUUGGGCGUAAAGCGCGCGUAGGCGGUUUUUUAAGUCUGAUGUGAAAGCCCACGGCUCAACCGUGGAGGGUCAUUGGAAACUGGAAAACUUGAGUGCAGAAGAGGAAAGUGGAAUUCCAUGUGUAGCGGUGAAAUGCGCAGAGAUAUGGAGGAACACCAGUGGCGAAGGCGACUUUCUGGUCUGUAACUGACGCUGAUGUGCGAAAGCGUGGGGAUCAAACAGGAUUAGAUACCCUGGUAGUCCACGCCGUAAACGAUGAGUGCUAAGUGUUAGGGGGUUUCCGCCCCUUAGUGCUGCAGCUAACGCAUUAAGCACUCCGCCUGGGGAGUACGACCGCAAGGUUGAAACUCAAAGGAAUUGACGGGGACCCGCACAAGCGGUGGAGCAUGUGGUUUAAUUCGAAGCAACGCGAAGAACCUUACCAAAUCUUGACAUCCUUUGACAACUCUAGAGAUAGAGCCUUCCCCUUCGGGGGACAAAGUGACAGGCGGUGCAUGGUUGUCGUCAGCUCGUGUCGUGAGAUGUUGGGUUAAGUCCCGCAACGAGCGCAACCCUUAAGCUUAGUUGCCAUCAUUAAGUUGGGCACUCUAGGUUGACUGCCGGUGACAAACCGGAGGAAGGUGGGGAUGACGUCAAAUCAUCAUGCCCCUUAUGAUUUGGGCUACACACGUGCUACAAUGGACAAUACAAAGGGCAGCGAAACCGCGAGGUCAAGCAAAUCCCAUAAAGUUGUUCUCAGUUCGGAUUGUAGUCUGCAACUCGACUACAUGAAGCUGGAAUCGCUAGUAAUCGUAGAUCAGCAUGCUACGGUGAAUACGUUCCCGGGUCU